This 637-nucleotide ribosomal RNA is filed under the name uncultured bacterium. Its description in RNAcentral is "bacterial SSU rRNA". It matches the Rfam family "Bacterial small subunit ribosomal RNA", at positions 607 to 1244 of the family's 1533-position model. The record is from RNAcentral.
GCUUAACCGGAGAAGUGCAUCGGAAACUGAUAAACUUGAGUGCAGAAAAGGAUAGUGGAACUUCAUGUGUAGCGGUGAAAUGCGUAGAUAUAUGAAGGAACACCAGUGGCGAAGGCGGCUAUCUGGUCUGUAACUGACGCUGAGGCUCGAAAGCAUGGGUAGCAAACAGGAUUAGAUACCCUGGUAGUCCAUGCCGUAAACGAUGAAUGCUAGGUGUUGGAAGGUUUCCGCCUUUCAGUGCCGCAGCUAACGCAUUAAGCAUUCCGCCUGGGGAGUACGACCGCAAGGUUGAAACUCAAAGGAAUUGACGGGGACCCGCACAAGCGGUGGAGCAUGUGGUUUAAUUCGAUGCUACGCGAAGAACCUUACCAGGACUUGACAUCUUCUGCCAAUCUAAGAGAUUAGACGUUCCCUUUGGGGACAGAAUGACAGGUGGUGCAUGGUUGUCGUCAGCUCGUGUCGUGAGAUGUUGGGUUAAGUCCCGCAACGAGCGCAACCCUUGUCUUUAGUUGCCAGCAUUAAGUUGGGCACUCUAGAGAGACUGCCGGUGAUAAACCGGAGGAAGGUGGGGACGACGUCAAAUCAUCAUGCCCCUUAUGUCCUGGGCUACACACGUGCUACAAUGGGCGAUACAAUG